CCGGAGGGGAAGGAGUGUAAGUUAAGUCGCAAGAACCACACUUCGCUCGCUCACACCCUUCCUGGCGGCACAUUUCUGACUGGCUGACUGAAGCAAGUUUUGGUAUUUUUCACUCAUCACCAUUUUCCUCUUGCUCCUUCUCCCCCUCCUCCUCAUCAUCAUCAUCAUCUUCAGCCUCUACUAGUUCACUGCAGCACAUAAGCUAGUAUUUUUAACCCGGUAGCAGCGGGGAUCAUGCUUCUUAAUGGUCCCUCCAAGCGAGAAAAAUGAGAAAAAAUCAUCCCUCACACAAACCAUUCCAUAAUAUAUAUCAAUGCAUUUGUGAUCAACUUAUGUAUCAUCUAUUUUGGGGGGUUUAUAUCAUGGCACAAAUUUGGCCCAUCGCUGCUACACGGUAAAGACACAAAUUUGGCCCGUCGCUGCUACACGGUAAAGACACAAAUUUGGCCCGUCGCUGCUACACGGUAAAGACACAAAUUUGGCCCGUCGCUGCUACACGGUAAAGACACAAAUUUGGCCCGUCGCUGGUACCGGGUUAAACAUGUCAUCACCUCAGUUCCCGUUUGAAAAGCCCCCCUCAUGGAAUUUGCCGAGAUUUUCAUGAACCGUUUUGUGAUGGCAGUGAUGGUUUUACACGACCUCUGCACCUUGAACGGAAAAACCAGCCAUGAAGACCCAGUUAAUCUUCUCUGUGGUGUGGCCUUGAGAAAUGGUCGUGAUGGUAGUCUGAUACGUCUUAGAAUAUGGACCAAGGACCUUUCCCAACAUCCUCCACCUCUCUCUGUCUAUAGUGAAACCAAAUUGUCGAGUCUGUCUGGGCGUUGGCUCCUGCAGGUCCAUUUCUCCCCUCUGCUCUGCCACACAGUCCCAACACCUAUUUUUUCCUCUCAUAUGUUACCUAUAGCUUACAUAUGAGAGGAAGAGAUAGGUGUUGGGACUGUGUGGCAGAGCAGAGGGGAGGAAUGGACCCGUGGGAGCCUACGCCAGACUGGCCUCGACACAUUUGAAAGACUAUAGUGUUACUGUGGUCCGUCCCACUCCGGUAAAUGCUCUAGUGCCAUCUCUCCCCCUGGCUCAAUGUCUGCUCUGACCUCUAUAAUAACUUGCCUGCCACUCUGUUACUUGGGUUGCCAUCUGUUAUCAGCAGCGAUUAGUGGGCUUUUUUUUCCACACUUUCUUUUUGUUGCCCUUGAGUUGCUUCCUGUAAUAAAAAAUAAAAAAUAAAAAAAAAUAAAAAUAAAUAAAACAGUAUCUGCCUGGUGUGGCCUAAGUCCCCUUCCUGUUCUCAGCCCCUACUCCAUGAUGCAAACUUCCCAUCUCUCCAAGUUAGGCUGAGCUUAUUUUUUUCUUCAUUCUUCUUUGUGAGUUUUUUUUAUUCCUUUACAGACUUUUUAGUGAGGUGUCAAGUCUCUCGUAGGACUGUGAGUGUACCCUGACGGCCCUCACUUACAGGAGCGCGGUGGGGUGCUGGGUGUUCGCGGCUCACCUUUCCUUAGACAGAGACAACCUAAACCCUGCUGAUAACCACAUGAGUAAAAGGAAUUUGUCUAAGCAGAUGCUGCCCUGGAGGGUGAGUGGAGGCAGGGCUCAGGCUACACCUUGCACGGCCUAAGCCACAGGCGAGUGUAAGCCGGCUUGUUACAACGCCACAGUGAUGCACGGCCAUGAAUGGAGGGAAUGAGGUGUGUUGCUUCCAUGAAAUUAUGUUAAACAAGUGUCUUCAUCUCCUGUGGGGGGUGGGGGUCAGGCAGGAAUGAGGUGUGUUGCUUCCAUGAAAUUAUGUUAAACAAGUGUCUUCAUCUCCUGUGGGGGGUGGGGGUCAGGCAGGAAUGAGGUGUGUUGCUUCCAUGAAAUUAUGUUAAACAAGUGUCUUCAUCUCCUGUGGGGGGCGGGGGUCAGGCAGGAAUGAGGUGUGUUGCUGCCAUGAAAUUAUGUUAAACAAGUGUCUUCAUCUCCUGUGGGGGGGUGGGGGUCAGGCAGAGGCAGAGGGUCACUAACUUGAACAAUCCUUGACUCACAAAACGUGGCGGCAAGCUUGCUGCAGGAAUCAUCACAUCAGCACUCAUGUAAAAGUUAAAAGUUAAAAGAGGCUAAGUGUUUAACUGGUGGAAAAAAUUAGAAAGUUAUCCACAUGCUGUCCAGACCACUAAUGAAGCCUAACUUAACCCCUUGGCUGCGGAUUUCCUACAGUCAGACCUCACCAAGCUACAGGAAUGGAACAAAAAGUGGCUGCUAAAAUUCAAUGAAGAAAAAUGUAAAGUCCUGCACAUUGCGAGGGAAAAUCUAGCAUACCAAUGCAAUACCACGUGGGAAACACUCCACUAUCCACCACAGAGGCAGAGAAAGACCUGGGAUUAUUUGUUACCAGUCUACCAAUGAAGACCAAAUCCAUGCCAAUCGCAGAGGACGGGUUAACUGGUGGAAAAAGCUAGAGAGUCACCCACAUGCUGUCCAAUCAUUAAUGAAACCUAACUUGAGUGACUGUGGCCAAGAAGAGCACUGGAGGGCAGCACAGGUCAAGCAAGACUCAUACAGCCUGGCAGCAACUCUUAACCCGGUAGCAGCGGGGAUCAUGUUUCUUAAUGGUCCCUCCAAGUGAGAAAAAUGAGAAAAAAUCACCCCUCACACAAACCAUUUCAUAAUAUAUAUCAAAGCAUUUGUGAUCAGAUUAUGUAUCAUCUAUUUUGGGGGGUUGAUAUCAUGGCACAAAUUCAGCCCGUCGCUGCUACACGGUAAAGCCACGAAUUUGGCCCGUCGCUGCUACCUGGUUAAGUACAAUAUUCCUGUGCCGCUCAAGGCCUCGGGACAAUCACCACUCGCCUCAAAGUACCCAACCGAUGCUGUGGGCUUCACAUCAACACAAGGACACACAAGGCUGAGGAGACUACAUGAGGCCAGACAGACGGCCCACACACGGCAGCUCCAGAGGAAGGGUUAGUCACCACAUUCCCUUCCCGUUCAUAGGUACAUUUGACCUCCAUUAAAAACAUUCAGCUGUUUGCCUCAACUACACGCCUGCUUGGUUUGUUCCACCAAAAAAUAAGAAAAAUGUCAGCAAACACAACUGACAACCUUUCCCUGUAUUGGUCCAUCCACUGAGGGCCACCAUUAGUAACAUGCAGCUCCCUGGAACUUGCAGAGGAAAUACCAAUGCUUGAAGGCUUUAAUGAGGCUGAAAUUAACCCUUAGAUGGUGGUAGAACUCUAUAUAGAUGGUCCAAACUUUAGUCAGUCAGUUUUGUAUGGCAGAAAUAUAACAACACUUCCAGACUGCAGUAGAAUUUAUAUACAGACUUUAGUUAAAACAUCCAUUAUGUGGCGUAACUAUAUUUUUGCUACGGUCCUAAGGUCGGCAGUGACUAUAUAUUGACCAUUCAUUUUGGGGGCAGCUGCUCUUCAAAUACUGCCGCCGUCUAAAGGCUAAUAAGUGUCCGUGGUAAGAGCGCCGGACAGGACACGGAGUGAUGGGUUAAGUGGGACAGAUUCAGAUUCAACAAAGGCAGAGGCAAGAAUUGGCUUACUAAUAGAGUGGUGGAUGAGUGGAGCAGGCCUGGCUGUGGGGAGCGCCAAUACAAUACAUGCCUCCACCCGAAAUUGACCUCUCUUUUGGCUACUCUUUAUUUUUGUCUAUUAAGGGAGCGGCGAGUAACAUUUUUUUUUCACACUUUUUGUUGCCCUUGAGCCCUCGCCUUUCAUUGGGGGGAGGGUUUAGAUAAGCUCAUGGGAGGCGAUUAAGGUGGGUCAGGUUUACAGGAGCUGCCUUGUACAGGACUACCGGCCUCCUGCACACUCCCUAUGCUUUUAUGGCUGUCUAGUUAUUUAGGACUCUGCAAUAACAGAAUUACAAGCCAUGCAGUGUCAUUCCAUGCUCACCACACACACACACACACACACAGCAGAGGCCAGGCACAACCAACACCAAGAGGUAACAAUAUC
Molecule: long non-coding RNA, 3935 nt
Organism: Eriocheir sinensis (Chinese mitten crab)
Lineage: Eukaryota; Metazoa; Arthropoda; Malacostraca; Decapoda; Varunidae
Exons: 3
Source: RefSeq, a predicted model, not a curated record